RNAcentral lists this ribosomal RNA (143 nucleotides) under uncultured eukaryote. Its description in RNAcentral is "partial small subunit ribosomal RNA". The record is from RNAcentral.
GUACACACCGCCCGUCGCUAUUACCGAUUGAGUGUUAAGGUGAACCYUCUCGAUAGAGCAAUCUAAAWAUUAAGYAAACCUUGACACUUAGAGGAAAUAAAAGUCGUAACAAGGUAUUCGUAGGUGAACCUGCAGAAGGAUCA